Molecule: ribosomal RNA, 371 nt
Filed under: uncultured organism
Description: bacterial SSU rRNA
Rfam family: Bacterial small subunit ribosomal RNA
Source: RNAcentral
CGGAGGGGGCUAGCGUUGUUCGGAAUUACUGGGCGUAAAGGGCGCGUAGGCGGCGCGAUAAGUUGGGCGUGAAAGGCCCGGGCUCAACCCGGGGACUGCGCUUGAUACUGUCGCGCUGUGAGUCCGGGAGAGGAUGGCGGAAUUCCCAGUGUAGAGGUGAAAUUCGUAGAUAUUGGGAAGAACACCGGUGGCGAAGGCGGCCAUCUGGACCGGCACUGACGCUGAGGCGCGAAAGCGUGGGGAGCAAACAGGAUUAGAUACCCUGGUAGUCCACGCCGUAAACGAUGCGUGCUAGACGUUGGGGGGCUUGCCCUUCGGUGUCGUCGCUAACGCAUGAAGCACGCCGCCUGGGGAGUACGGUCGCAAGAUUA